UUUCCGUAGGUGAACCUGCGGAAGGAUCAUUAUUGUAUAACCGAGGUGCGAGGGCUGUCGCUGACCCGAAAGGUCGUGCACGCCCGAGUGCCCUCACACACAUCCAUCUCACCCCUAUGUGCACCACCGCGUGGGUCCCCCUUGGGCUUGUUCGGAGGGGGGCUUACGUUUUCACACAAACUUUGUAUGCAGUGUAGAAUGUAUUUUUUGUUUUUGCGAUCACGCAAUCAAUACAACUUUCAACAACGGAUCUCUUGGCUCUC
Molecule: unclassified non-coding RNA, 263 nt
Filed under: plant metagenome
Description: partial contains small subunit ribosomal RNA, internal transcribed spacer 1, and 5.8S ribosomal RNA
Source: RNAcentral